AUGAGGAUUUUUUUCCCCCUCUAUUUUAGCAUUACAAUGCUAAAAAAAAAAACCCCGAAGGAACUCGGCUUGCUGCAAGUCUAUAACAUUUCACAUUUUUUUUCUUUGCAAGCUCAAUCUCACAUGAAGAACUCAGGAGGAGAAAAAAAACUUUGCCUUUUUUUUUCCUUUUAUCUAGCAGUAGAUGGGUGGGGAGGGGGGGGAGGGGGGGGGGGGGAUAGACCGAGCCGACGAGCAGCCCGAGCGAGGGCUCCGAGAUGAAAAAAGAUUUUAAAGCCUCUGAUCCAGCAAGAAGAGUUUAAAGCAAUUGCUGAGUUUUAUAGCCCUCGUGACGUCAGGCCCAAAUGGGAAAUUGACUGGCACUCGGGGCCAAUGGGAGGCGGCGAGAGCGGCCGCGAUUAGCAUAAUAGUAUAGAAACAAGGAAACUUUUCGGAGCUGUCAAUCAGGGCCCAAUCAGCUGACUGUCAGCUGGGACCGGCCGCUUAACCCUUCCCGCGCCGCCGCCUCCGCCCGCGCCGCCCGAGAGUGAGGCCCGACGCGCAGUUGGGUGCCAGCGAGGGAAGGGACUUUUCCAGGGGUGCUGCGGGGAAGCCGGGCGGGCGGGGGGGCUGGAAUGCAGAGCGCGCGGGGGGCCCGCCUUCCCGAGCCCCAGCUCGCCCGGCGCUCCCUCUCCGGGGACUGACCUGACCCCCCCCG
RNAcentral lists this long non-coding RNA (697 nucleotides) under Dasypus novemcinctus (nine-banded armadillo). RNAcentral's name for it is "lncRNA (ENSDNOG00000050380.1)". The record is from RNAcentral. Lineage: Eukaryota; Metazoa; Chordata; Mammalia; Cingulata; Dasypodidae.